CCUACGGGAGGCAGCAGUGCGGAAUAUUGGUCCAUGGACGCAAGUCUGAACCAGCCCUGCCUCGUGCAGGAAGACGGCUCUAUGAGUUGUAAACUGCUUUUGUACGAGGGUAAACGCAGAUACGCGUAUCUGUCUGACAGUAUCGUACUAAUAAGUAUCGUCUACCUCCGUUCCAGACGCCGCGGUAAUACGGAGGAUUCAAGCGUUAUCCGGAUUUCUUGGGUUUACAGGGUGCGUAGGCGGUCGGAUAAGUUAGAGGUGACAUCCCGAGUCUCAACUUCGGAAUUGCCUCUGAUACUGUUCGGCGAGAGAGUAGUUGCGGUAGGCGGAAUGUAUGGUGUAGCGGUGAAAUGCUUAGAGAUCAUACAGAACACCGAGUGCGAAGGCAGCUUACCAAGCUACUUCUGACGUUGAGGCACGAAAGCGUGGGGAGCAAACAGGAUUAGAUACCCGAGUAGUC
Molecule: ribosomal RNA, 460 nt
Filed under: uncultured bacterium
Lineage: Bacteria
Description: partial 16S ribosomal RNA
Rfam family: Bacterial small subunit ribosomal RNA
Source: RNAcentral